AUAAGGUUAAGGAACAAAGGGCACACAGUGGAUGCCUUGGCACCAAGAGGCGAUGAAGGACGGAACUAACACCGAAAUGCUCGGGGAAGCUGUAAGUAAGCGACGAUUCCGAGAUGUCCGAAUGGGGGAACCCACUAUGUUGAAGACAUAGUAUCUAACACACGUGUUAGAGGCAAUACGUAGGGAACUGAAAUAUCUAAGUACCUACAGGAAAAGAAAGUAAUAACGAUUCUGUCAGUAGCGACGAGCGAACGCGGAGGAGCCAGAUACCUAAGGUUACAAAAUUAUAUAAUAGAUGAACGAUGUGGGAAAAUCGGUCGAAGAAGGUGAGAGCCCUGUAGUCGAAAUUAUAUAAUCCAUGGUAUCAGAAAGUAGGGCGGGACACGUGGAAUCCCGUUUGAAGAUAGGAGGACCAUCUCCUAAGGCUAAAUACUACUUGGUGACCGAUAGUGAACCAGUACAGUGAUGGAAAGGUGAAAAGAACCCCGGGAGGGGAGUGAAAGAGAACCUGAAACUGUGUGCUUACAAUUAGUCAGAGCCCGUUAAUGGGUGAUGGCAUGCCUUUUGUAGAAUGAACCGGCGAGUUAUGUUACAUAGCAAGGUUAAGGAUGAAGGUCCGGAGCCGAAGCGAAAGCGAGUCUGAAUAGGGCGCUUAAGUUGUGUGAUGUAGACCCGAAACUGGGUGAUCUAGCCAUGAGCAGGUUGAAGUAAGGGUAGUACCUUAUGGAGGACCGAACCGCCGCCUGUUGAAAAAGGCUCGGAUGACUUGUGGCUAGGGGAGAAAUUCCAAUCGAACUCAGAGAUAGCUGGUUCUCCCCGAAAUAUCUUUAGGGAUAGCGUCAACAAAAUAGGUUUAUCGAAGGUAGAGCACUGAAUGUGUGAUGGCCCCACCUCGGGGUACUGAUCUCAAUCAAACUCCGAAUGUCGGUAAAGUAAGUUGGCAGUCAGACUACGGGUGAUAAGGUUCGUGGUCAAAAGGGAAAGAGCCCAGACCGCCAGAUAAGGUCCCAAAAUAUAUGCUAAGUGGAAAAGGAAGUAGAGAUGCACAAACAGCCAGGAGGUUGGCUUAGAAGCAGCCAUCCUUUAAAGAGUGCGUAAAAGCUCACUGGUCGAGUGACUCUGCGCCGAAAAUGUACCGGGGCUAAGCAUAUUACCGAAGCUGCGGAUUUAAAAAGAUUUUUUAAGUGGUAGGGGAGCGUUCCUAACAGCGGUGAAGCUAGAUCGUGAGGACUAGUGGAGCGUUAGGAAGUGAGAAUGCCGGUGUAAGUAACGAAAAGACAGGUGAGAAUCCUGUCCGUCAUAAACCCAAGGUUUCCAGGGGAAGGUUCGUCCGCCCUGGGUAAGUCGGGGCCUAAGGUGAGGCUGAAGAGCGUAGCCGAUGGAUAACUAGUAGAGAUUCUAGUACCAGUGUAGUGACUGAUGGAGUGACAAAGAAGGAUAGGCGUCCACCCUUAAUGGAUUGGGUGAGAAGGAUUCGAGGCUAGUACUUAGGCAAAUCCGGGUACUGUUAAAGCUGAGAACUGAUAUAAAGACGUACGAGUUCAUGCUUUCAAGAAAAGCUUCUAAGGUUAAUCAUUAUACUGCCCGUACCGUAAACCGACACAGGUGGGUGAGUAGAAUAUAUUAAGACGCGCGAGAAAACUGUUGUUAAGGAACUCGGCAAAUUGACCCCGUAACUUCGGGAAAAGGGGGACUCCUUAUGAAAACGAGGAGUCGCAGAGAAAAGGCCCAAGCGACUGUUUAGCAAAAACACAGGUCUCUGCAAAACCGUAAGGUGAAGUAUAGAGGCUGACGCUUGCCCGGUGCUGGAAGAUUAAGAGGAGAUGUCAGGGUUAAACCGAAGCAUUGAAUUGAAGUCCCAGUAAACGGCGGCCGUAACUAUAACGGUCCUAAGGUAGCGAAAUUCCUUGGCGGGUAAGUUCCGUCCUGCACGAAAAGCGUAACGAUUUGGGCACUGUCUCAACAACAGACUCGGUGAAAUCAAGCUGCCGGUGAAAACGCCGGCUACCCGCGAUUAGACGAAAAGACCCCAUGGAGCUUCACUGUAACUUGAUAUUGAAACUGGGUGUAAGAUGUACAGGAUAGGUGGGAGGCUAUGAAGAUAGUACGCUAGUAUUGUCGGAGCCAACGUUGGGAUACCACCCUUCGUGCACUUAGUUUCUAACUUCUAGAUGUGUAAUCUAAAGGACAGUGUCUGGUGGGCAGUUUGACUGGGGCGGUCGCCUCCCAAAGAGUAACGGAGGCGCUCGAAGGUUACCUCAGAAUGGUUGGAAAUCAUUCUAUAGAGUGCAAUGGCAGAAGGUAGCUUGACUGCGAGACCAACAAGUCGAGCAGGGACGAAAGUCGGACAUAGUGAUCUUACGGUACCGAAUGGAAGGGCCGUGACUCAACGGAUAAAAGUUACCCUGGGGAUAACAGGCUUAUCGCUUCCAAGCGUUCACAGCGACGAAGCGGUUUGGCACCUCGAUGUCGGCUCGUCGCAUCCUGGAGCUGGAGUAGGUUCCAAGGGUUGGGCUGUUCGCCCAUUAAAGCGGCACGCGAGCUGGGUUCAGAACGUCGUGAGACAGUUCGGUCUCUAUCUAUCGUGGGCGUUGGAAAUUUGAAGGGAGCUGUUCCUAGUAUGAGAAGACCGGAAUGGACGCACCCCUGGUGCACCAGUUAGUACGCCAGUACUACAGCUGGGUAGCUAUGUGCGGAAGGGAUAAACGCUGAAAGCAUCUAAGCGUGAAGCCCCCCUUAAGAUGAGAUUUCCCAAUUAGUAAGACCCCUCAAAGACUAUGAGGUUGAUAGGCCAGGUGUGUAAGUACAGCGAUGUAUUCAGCUUACUGGUACUAAUAGGUCGAGGACUUAACCUU
RNAcentral lists this ribosomal RNA (2855 nucleotides) under Acholeplasma laidlawii. Its description in RNAcentral is "bacterial LSU rRNA". It matches the Rfam family "Bacterial large subunit ribosomal RNA". Lineage: Bacteria; Bacillati; Mycoplasmatota; Mollicutes; Acholeplasmatales; Acholeplasmataceae. The record is from RNAcentral.